GUGGGGAAUAUUGCACAAUGGGGGAAACCCUGAUGCAGCGACGCCGCGUGGAGGAAGAAGGUCUUCGGAUUGUAAACUCCUGUCCCAGGGGACGAUAAUGACGGUACCCUGGGAGGAAGCACCGGCUAACUACGUGCCAGCAGCCGCGGUAAAACGUAGGGUGCAAGCGUUGUCCGGAAUUACUGGGUGUAAAGGGAGCGCAGGCGGAUUGGCAAGUUGGGAGUGAAAUCUAUGGGCUCAACCCAUAAAUUGCUUUCAAAACUGUCAGUCUUGAGUGGUGUAGAGGUAGGCGGAAUUCCCGGUGUAGCGGUGGAAUGCGUAGAUAUCGGGAGGAACACCAGUGGCGAAGGCGGCCUACUGGGCACUAACUGACGCUGAGGCUCGAAAGCAUGGGUAGCAAACAGGA
RNAcentral lists this ribosomal RNA (406 nucleotides) under uncultured bacterium. RNAcentral describes it as "bacterial SSU rRNA". It matches the Rfam family "Bacterial small subunit ribosomal RNA", at positions 354 to 777 of the family's 1533-position model. The record is from RNAcentral.